This is a long non-coding RNA of Oreochromis aureus, 952 nucleotides long. RefSeq lists it as uncharacterized. The transcript is spliced from 4 exons. The record is from RefSeq and is a predicted model, not a curated record. NCBI's taxonomy places the organism in Eukaryota, Metazoa, Chordata, Actinopteri, Cichliformes, Cichlidae.
GCUGGCAAUCUUUCUUACUGAAUCUCUACUGUGAGUCAUGUUACCUGAGAUUAAUUCUAUGUUUACCUGACAGCCUGGACAAAUGUGCUGUGUGAAGGAUGUAAAUCAAAUCAGAUCUUAACUGCUUACAUUUAAGGAGCCUGGUCAUAUUUAAUUAACAGUUCUCCACAGUCACUGUCCACAUGGGUCAGUGGGACCAAGCAGCACUCUGCUAAUGUGGGACUCUGACCAGCAACAUCCAGCAAGACCCAGGCAGCGUUUUCUAUCUCCCAGCUGGAGUUUUUUUGUUUGUCUGUGACUGGAGAGUCAGAUUUUUGUUGAGGCUGGAGGAACAGCCUCACACUUGCAGAGGUUAAUACACUCUACUGAUCCCUGAUGGGAGAAUCAUCACCUCUGCCAACAAAGAAGCCUGGUGGAUAUUUGUUUGCAGUCUGAUGAUGGGACAUCAUGCUCUGCAUCUUCAAAGUUUGUCUCUUGAUUAUUAUUGAUACACAGUAAUGUGAAGCAUGCUUAUAUCUAGUAUAACUGGACCAACCUGGUGCUCUUCAUUUAUGGAGGCUGUUGAGUCUGAAUGUUGGAUGUUGUGUAUCUCCUGUUCUCUGGGCUUUGUUGUCCUCAGUCUUUUUGCAGGAUCAGAAAACAAAACCAGGAGGCCUGUAAAUGUUUCUUCUCCAAUUGGAUGAUGAUAAGACUGUGACACGGGAUGCCACCUUUGGUCUUGUGAUGAAGCAAAGCUCAGGAAGCAGUGUGAUUAAAUGGUACCCACAUGUGUGCUGCUGAGAAGGAUGUACAGGGGCACCUGCAGCCAAAUCCAAGCCUCCUCAGCAACUUCAAGUCUGUCAGCGUGCUGAGGUCACAGAAACAAGAAAAGCAGCUUCAGACUUCAGAGUGUUGUUUACAGUUUUCUGUCAUCAUGAUCUCCCCUGAAGUUUAUCACUAUUAUACAAGCAUU